Vespa velutina is the source of this 3622-nucleotide long non-coding RNA. RefSeq lists it as uncharacterized. The record is from RefSeq and is a predicted model, not a curated record. Lineage: Eukaryota; Metazoa; Arthropoda; Insecta; Hymenoptera; Vespidae. The transcript has 2 exons.
CCUAUAUACGUACUCGACGAAGAUGAGCUCGGCGAAAAAGGCUUGGCUCGAGUUUGUGUUAUCUACAUAUUGUCGUAACCACUACCUUCGAGUAAAACGUAUUAGUUAUCCGCGUUGGAGGUAAGAAGACGCGGUACAAAAAGAAGAAGUAUGUUGCGAAACGAUAUUGCUUUUCUACGUACAACUCGGUAAAAUAAUUCUUUGCAGUUUACUUCCGUGCAAUGUAAAGAAUAAAAAUUUUAACGAGAAAAAGAGACAGACAGAGAAAGAGAGAGAGAGAGAGAGAGAGAGGGGGAGAGAAGAGAAGAGAAAGCGAUGAGAUUGGAAAGACAGGAAGACUUUGAAUCGCGUUAGUGUGUUUAUCGCCGCUUAUAUAAUCCUAUAAAGUUACCCGAUGCGUCAUAUGCACGAGAUCGCUUCCUUCUUUACGAGCGUACGCCAUUCGCGACAGUGAUUCCCCUCUUUGAAAUCCAAGAGAGAAAGAGAGAAAGAGAGAGAGAGAGAGAGAGAGAGAGAGAGAGAGAGAGACAGAUAAAGCUGGAGAAAUGAUCUCGGAAAAGCGAAAUCAAUGUGUUUGUUCGUUUUAUUUUUGCGUAUAUUUCAUACGAUAAAACAUAGCAAAUGAGAAGCACUGACCGAUAACGUGUCUGCGAGAAGUAAUAUGUAGUUUGAUGAAGAAAGGAAGCUGAAUAUCAUUAGUCUUCCAUGAGCCGAGUACUGUCUUUGUUACAAAGUUUCGUUUCUUCCGUACGUUACACGACGAAUCGUCAGUAUGCAACUGGAGUGCUUGAACGAUCGACCGUGCUAGAAACAAUAAACCGAUGUUGAUGUUUUAUGUAACGCGGUUUGGUAACUGAAGCUGCAUUGCGCAAGCGAGCGAAAACGGAGACAUUAUAAGAUAUGUCAUGAAAAUUAUAUCUCCUUCCUCAGUGAUAACAAUACCGCGCGAAGAAAACGGAGUACAUUUCGAAGGUCGCACGUUCAACUAUCUAUCCGGAUAGAACGCUUGGUAUCCAUAAGAAAUUGCUAAACACGAGAUCAAGUGUAAAACCAGAUAAGUCCGAAUCUUAUAUAAGCACUUAUACUGGAAAAGAAGAGUAGAUAUAGUAGCUGAGUAUUUAUUUUGAUACGAAUUUAUUCACUUUUGAUACAUUGCAUUUGAAAUUUGAUUUAUUGUAUGUAUAUUGCUAUUAUAAAAAAAAAAAAUUGAUAAGUAUAUCUUGUUAAUAUAAACAUUUUUAACUUAAAUUUUAUUAUUGUGUGUAUAUUGUAUUAAUAAAAAAAUUAUACAAUAUACUAUUUCAAACUUGAUUUACUUUAUUUAUUUAUCCAUCUAUUUAAUAGUUGAAUAAUGUUAAUAUAUUGCUAAGGUGAAUAAGCCGGCGAAAUAAGAAAUUUUAAAAGCUAUUUAAAGUAUAGUGAACAUAAGGAAUUGUUAUUCCUUAAAAAUGAAUAUAUUUAAGAUAUUAAACUUGAUCCUAUUCUGGAAAUCUAGUGCGUUCAAAUUAGAUUAUUCAAAUGAUUUAACGUCGACCUCGAUUUCAUAAGUAUGAAAGCGAAAGUCAUGACAAGGAGAAAUAAUUAUUCUGUUAUAUGUUGAAGAAACUACUUGAAAGACAAAACGCAGACAAUAAUUGCAUUUAUCUACGAACGGAAAACGAAAUAACGCAUUUGAAUUCACACUGGAUCGUAACCGUUACGAGUGAUCAGAUAAUACACAAUACGCAGUACGACCAUGAUACCGGAAUUAUUUUUGUUUUCUUUUUUCUGCUAAUAUAUACAGGCACAUGAAACGCGUUUCGCGAAACUCCAAGAGAAGUGCACGAUAAUGCCCGAGCGAAUUGUGGGAAAGACCAUUCGUGCUCGUAGUUGGAUUCCUUAUUUCGUGGAUAACGGACCGAGACUCGCUACUUUGCUGGCAAAUUUUUUUUUCGUUUCGUUUGAUAAGAAGAGGAAAGAGAGAGAAAGGGAGAGAAAGAAAGAGAGAAAGAGAGAGAGAGAGAGAGAGAGAGAGAGAGAGAGAAACAAAAAAAAAAAGAGAAAAGAUCGUUCAUUCAAAACGACAGAAACUUCGAAGAAACACGAAGUAGCUCGUUAUCGUUCCAUAAAAACAUUUCAAAGUAGAGGAUUAUCCAUUGAAAUCGAUAUUUACUCGAUAAUAAAGAAAAGCUGAGGAUGUAGCUGAAAAGAUGUUUUCCAUAGUAGCGAUCGAACGAUAGCAAAUGAGAGCCAAUGGAUUGGAAGAAGGAAGUGACAAAACGAGAUGGCAAAGUUCGCAAAGAAAGUGAAAGAGAGACCCGUUGAAUUCUCGAGCGCGUACAAAGUCACGAAAUUGUUCACCAAAGUUUGUAGAUUUCUGCCAAUGAUUUUAUUCCGGUUAAACUAAACCGGCUAACCGACUGCCGCGUAACACGAGACGGCUUGUAAUCAAAGUCAAAUAGGGCAAAAAUCGUUCCCUUGGAAGCACGAUAAUGUCGCUGUGAUUCAUAGUCGGGUAUAUAUUUGUUUGCCGUGUAAGAGAGGCGAGAUUUCUUCCAGAGAAUUUGUUGAUGCACCUACCGUUGUCGUUAGUGGAUGGAGAAUCUGUAGAGAAAUUGGAGAUGGAGGAAUCGAAGAAAAAGAGGAGAGAAAGAAGAAAAAGAGACAUCGAAGGUAAAAUCGAGCAAAAAGAGGAGAAACUUCUCUUCCUUUCGUUCUUCUCGUUCCUCUCGACUGAAAGGAUCCAGAUCUCUGAAGACCCUCGACCGGAGGACUCACGUUGUUUCUUCGAAUCACACUCGAAACACUCGAGAAUCAUAACGGAGUUCCCCAAUUUAUCAUAUAGAAUGCUGUACAAUCGAACACUGUAUUCUUGACUUCUUAGAUAUCCGUAAGGAAAGUUUCGUAGAAUAUACUAACGAGAAAAUGCGGACAUUUCGAUCUUAUCAUGUAACUAGAAGCAUUAUUAACGCUUCUCUCUCUCUCUCUCUCUCUCUCUCUGUUUUCUCAAAUAUCCAGCGAAAUAACGAACUUCGAAUCUUAAAUCUCACGACACUUCGCGAGUUGCUGUUUCUGUAGUUGGAGAAUACGAAUCAAAGAAAGAAAAAGGUAAGGAGAGAGAGAGAGAGAGAGAGAGAGAGAGAGAGAGAGAGAGAGGAAGAGGGAGAAAGAGAGAGAAGAGAGAUAGUCACGUAUGGAAAUCUUAGUAAGUGAGCUAAACUUGGAUCGAGUCCAACUAGUAGUAAACAUCUUGACAUCUAUAUCUGCGCCCGCCUAAAUUGCGUUUCGACCAUCUUCCUAUUCUUUUCCGUUGUCCUUACUCGCUAGACAGUUCGCCUUGGAACGAAAUCGGGAUUUUCAUUUGAUUUCUUUUUUCAUCUCUUCGUUUUUGCCCCUUCUACCACAUUCAUAAGUAUGUACUAUACAGAGCUCAGAAGUUUGCCCUCGGGACAGCAUAAGGACAAGAGAAGAUUUUCUAUCGCUCCGCCUAUCCCCACUUUCCUCUCGAAGUACACAAAGUAUUCAGGAUUUUCACACACAUCAGUUUUCUACCAUUAUCGGCUUCACACAAACAAAUAUUAUCUGUAAUUUUAAAAGUGACAUUUCAGCAAUUAUUUAAAUAAAAUUUGAUUUUGAUUAGUUA